GACGAACGCUGGCGGCGUGCCUAAUACAUGCAAGUAGAACGCUGAAGAGAGGAGCUUGCUCUUCUUGGAUGAGUUGCGAACGGGUGAGUAACGCGUAGGUAACCUGCCUUGUAGCGGGGGAUAACUAUUGGAAACGAUAGCUAAUACCGCAUAACAAUGGAUGACCCAUGUCAUUUAUUUGAAAGGGGCAAAUGCUCCACUACAAGAUGGACCUGCGUUGUAUUAGCUAGUAGGUGAGGUAACGGCUCACCUAGGCGACGAUACAUAGCCGACCUGAGAGGGUGAUCGGCCACACUGGGACUGAGACACGGCCCAGACUCCUACGGGAGGCAGCAGUAGGGAAUCUUCGGCAAUGGGGGCAACCCUGACCGAGCAACGCCGCGUGAGUGAAGAAGGUUUUCGGAUCGUAAAGCUCUGUUGUAAGUCAAGAACGAGUGUGAGAGUGGAAAGUUCACACUGUGACGGUAGCUUACCAGAAAGGGACGGCGAACUACGU
RNAcentral lists this ribosomal RNA (496 nucleotides) under uncultured bacterium. Its description in RNAcentral is "partial 16S ribosomal RNA". It matches the Rfam family "Bacterial small subunit ribosomal RNA", at positions 28 to 506 of the family's 1533-position model. The record is from RNAcentral.